AGAGUUUGAUCAUGGCUCAGGACGAACGCUGGCGGCGUGCUUAACACAUGCAAGUCGAACGGAAAGGCCCUUCGGGGUACUCGAGUGGCGAACGGGUGAGUAACACGUGGGUGAUCUGCCCUGCACUUUGGGAUAAGCCUGGGAAACUGGGUCUAAUACCGAAUAUGACCAUGCGCCUCCUGGUGUGUGGUGGAAAGCUUUUGCGGUGUGGGAUGGGCCCGCGGCCUAUCAGCUUGUUGGUGGGGUAAUGGCCUACCAAGGCGACGACGGGUAGCCGGCCUGAGAGGGUGACCGGCCACACUGGGACUGAGAUACGGCCCAGACUCCUACGGGAGGCAGCAGUGGGGAAUAUUGCACAAUGGGCGCAAGCCUGAUGCAGCGACGCCGCGUGAGGGAUGACGGCCUUCGGGUUGUAAACCUCUUUCAGCACAGACGAAGCGCAAGUGACGGUAUGUGCAGAAGAAGGACCGGCCAACUACGUGCCAGCAGCCGCGGUAAUAUGUAGGGUCCGAGCGUUGUCCGGAAUUACUGGGCGUAAAGAGCUCGUAGGUGGUUUGUCGCGUUGUUCGUGAAAACUCACAGCUUAACUGUGGGCGUGCGGGCGAUACGGGCAGACUUGAGUACUGCAGGGGAGACUGGAAUUCCUGGUGUAGCGGUGGAAUGCGCAGAUAUCAGGAGGAACACCGGUGGCGAAGGCGGGUCUCUGGGCAGUAACUGACGCUGAGGAGCGAAAGCGUGGGGAGCGAACAGGAUUAGAUACCCUGGUAGUCCAA
RNAcentral lists this ribosomal RNA (773 nucleotides) under uncultured bacterium. Its description in RNAcentral is "bacterial SSU rRNA". It matches the Rfam family "Bacterial small subunit ribosomal RNA", at positions 8 to 798 of the family's 1533-position model. The record is from RNAcentral.